Hippocampus comes (tiger tail seahorse) is the source of this 276-nucleotide long non-coding RNA. RefSeq lists it as uncharacterized. The record is from RefSeq and is a predicted model, not a curated record. The transcript is spliced from 2 exons. NCBI's taxonomy places the organism in Eukaryota, Metazoa, Chordata, Actinopteri, Syngnathiformes, Syngnathidae.
GUAUCGAGCGGCUUUACGAGAGUGCUGACCAGCCGCGUGUUGUCCGGGCAAGUGCCAUACCUCGGGGGUGUAGCCGAGACUAGCUUUUACGUGGAGGGUCUCAGGUUUCCGGACAAGGACUUUGACGGGCUCAUCACUAUCAACCUUAGUCUGCUGGAGCCCAUCUGUAGAGGUCUUCCCGAGACCCCCAUUUUCACAGACACCGUUGUGUUCAGAGUGGCACCGUGGAUCAUGACUCCAAACACCCUGCGGCCUGUUGAGGUGUUUGUGUGCAGG